This 84-nucleotide non-coding RNA is filed under the name Nitrosospira multiformis. Lineage: Bacteria; Pseudomonadati; Pseudomonadota; Betaproteobacteria; Nitrosomonadales; Nitrosomonadaceae. The record is from RNAcentral.
GUUUAUGGGUGGCUCGUGUGGGAGGGGGAGACCCCUGCCGGUCCUAGUUCCGGUACGCCAACCUGCACGAGUCCGCCCACCCGA